AUUGGAGCAAGUACAGUAUCUGUCUGCCCCCUAGUGUAAGAGUCCUCGCUGCCUAAAAUUCAACUUUAAAAGAAAAGAGCUCUUAAAGGGAAACGACUUUGUGCUCACGUAGGCAUAGGAGAAUGAAACUUCUAUACAUUUUAAUCUGAAUAAUUCUCCAGGAUUUAAAAUUAAUUGGCUCUGGCUUGGUUGGACCGGACUCGGAUCUCGCCACCUCUGCGUUUCCCGAGUCCCUGGCGGAGAGGUGAUGAUUUUUUUUUUUUCCUGAACUGGGUUUAUGUGCGUCCCCCUCACCCCCUCCUCUCUUUUUCUUUCUCUCUGUCGUCUCUCUCGCUGGCUUUUUAAAAAUGAGGAACCGUUCCUUGAAUGUUCUGGACAGAGCACAGAAUUGCUUAAGUCAGCCCGACGCGGUUGUAAUAGACAGCAAAAAGGUAAACGUUUGCCUGCAAUCCGCACGCCAGCUCCACCACCCCGCCCGAUGAAGAAACACAGUCUUUACUCGGUGUCCACUUGGGAUUUGUUCCCGGACCUCUGAGGGAACCGAAAUCCGAGGAGCUCAAGUCCCUUGUAUAAAAUGAUGUAGUACAGCUGGCCUUCCAUUGCAAUGGGUUCUGCGGGUUCAUCUAACUGCAGAUCAAAUUUUGAUUGGUUGAAUACACAGAUGAGGAAUCCACGGAUAAUAGAAGCCCACUGUAUUAACAUUUAUACAACAUUUUCUUGUAACGUUCUUUGUCCUACAGUUUUUGGGGGGACAUUCUUUCUUAAAUAGUUCAAACACUGAUACAGUUUCUUCUGAGUCUUGUCUACACCCGGAUAACUAAGAUUUGUAACAUUAAGAUGAAGAAAAAAUGGAGGAUGUCCAUCGCUAAGAAUCAAAGACAGUGCCUGGCUGUGUAACAAAGAGAAAAGCUUUGACAGUUGGGACACUUGUUUUUUCCUUUACUCUUGAGACCCUCAUGGAUGAAAGGAAAAUAAAUAUUAAAUUAUUGUAUAUGAAGAACGCACAUGGCUUUGGAAAGGCACCAACUACAAGUGAUCGCGUUCAUUGGCUCGCUGGUUGAAACUUCUGUCAGCUGGUGCAUGUAGGAAGCUGAAGACUGUUUUCCUGACAACUUAUGAGAUCAAAGUUUCGGAUCUUGAAAAGGCAAGACUUUUUUGUUGGGGGAUGGUUUGCAAUCCGCUUAUAGAUAGCUAUAUAAUACAUGGUGCGGGGUUAGUGUCUAACCACCUGAGCGUAGAGCAUUGGUGUUUCAAAAGGAAUUGGGGGAGGUGAAGCCCACAUUACAGUUAACUGGAGUCUCACUAGGCAAAGUCACCACAGGACUCUGCCAAAGAGCCCCCAGGUCUUCACUGAUUCGGAGGGCUGCCAUGCCUACUUUCUCACUUCCUCCACCUACCUCCUCCACCUCCUCCACCCCAGAGCUGCCCAGCAGCUAGACGGCUCUUGCGUAUGAGACUCCUGGUCUCACCACUACCUGGGAAAUUCGUUUUUCUCCUCUUGACUACGUAGAGCGUCUUUUCCAUGAAGGUUAACCCACAGUGAGAGGUUACCUAACUCAAGCCUCAGAAUGCGCACACUGCAUCUUUAAGAAAUAGUUUACUUGUGAAUCAGUAAACGUCCCAGACAAAGCAGCCAUUACAUAUGCGUUCCUGCCUACCCGGCAAGGUGCAAAUAAUAGAAUAAACAUCAUAUACUUCAUUAUGAUAUCGGUUUACACUUCCAGGGUACACAAAAAGAGGCCAUUUCAUCAAGCUAAUUGCCUGAAAGUAAAAGAGAGAGAACUUUCGCUAUUAGUCUAUUAUGGGGCUUUUUUCUUAAUCACAAAUAGGGGCCGUGGGUCCCCAGGGGGAUGUGGAUUCUAAUUUACAAUUGAACUACAGAUCAGAGCAAUCAAUCUUGGGCAACACUUUUACAGUGUAAUUGCUACAACAUAACAAAUAAAACAACAACAACAACAACAACAACAACAACAAAAAACAAAACAAAAAAAAAAACAAAGGAGAAGCAGAAGCAGAAGACGAAGAGGAAGGUCCGAGCUUCAGCUUGGGAUGGAGCUAUUUCUAGGCACCAGUUCGGGGAGGGAGGAGGUAGAGGAACCUCCUCACACAUGAAUAUGCGAUGAAGGCUCAUUAGCGGUCUCGUGUUGCCAUGACGAAUGGCAUGAUCCCCGGCUUGCUGCUGCCUGAACAUGGAUUUUAUAACGACCCAUUUAUCAUGACUUGUCAUGGGCUUCUGUACUGUACUUUCUGCCGGCUCCCACACCUUUCCCUGUUCGGACGCUGGAAACCUUCCCUCUGAUGAUGAUUGUUUCCUUUUGUGUUGAUUUCCGGCUCUUCGCAGCCGGCGUUCCCAGAGAGCUGCAUGCGGAUCUGUGACUCCAGCAAGUUGAAGAGCUCUGACCUGAUGACACAUCCCACCUUCUCUACAGUCACGUAACUGAGAAAAAAGUAGGGCUAAACUGUUAAAGGAAUUUCUUCAUGUCUGAGCUUUUUUUUUUAACCAUAGUGUUCUGACGCUGCAGAGUUUUUUUUUUUUAAUUUAAAAUUGGGGGGAAGGUAUAGCCCAGGGGUAGAGCGCAUGCUUAGUGUGCACGAGAUCCUGGGUUCAAUCUCCAGUACCUCCAUUAAUUUUUUUAAUUAAUUUUUUUUAAUUUAAAUUAACACAGGUGUCUUCCUUUCAUUUAUUUUAUCCUCCCCCCACUUUUUUUUUUUUUUUGUAUUUCAGGACCUUCCAAUAUCUUAAAAGUAGAACUCAAAAGUCUUUAUGGUUUUUUCUUUCCCCCCAGAUCUUGGCAUCAUGACAAAAAAGUAUAAGAUUAAAAGGCUUGAAAGAUUUUUAGUGCUUAGCGGUUUACAAGUUCAUGAGCUGAUUUCUUGCCUAGAAACUUUCUUCUGUUGUGGGGAGGAAGGUUGGCCUGCUCUUUGAUGACAAUUUCUCAGGACUUGUAUGUUUUGCUAAUAGCAAACAAAACAAAACCCUGAAAACCAUCUCCCUUGAUAGAAGCCGUGAGGUCUUUUUGAAUAUUUAGCAGCCACAAAAUAGCGAUAUGCAAGUUUGAGUCUUUGCCAUUGGCCGGGAGGGUGUGGGAGUCCAUCAAAGUGAAGCGGACCAGUGGGUCCAGAAUCUGGUUCUGGAUAGGCAGAUUCUGUAUGGGCAGAUGUGCCCUAUUGUAACAGAUACCCAAUCAGUGGGAUCUAUGAUUAGCCUAUUUAGUUACUAUUAACAGAAUGUCCCUAAAAUUGUUUCCUCCUUCAGCCAGCUGAAGGGCAGGAAGAGGGUAGGACCAUAGGGGCUUUGAAUCUGGUGUUGUUUUGCACAUCUAGGAAUUAAAUCCCCAUUCCUGUAUACAGUUUGUAAACAGUAAAUAGUUGGCUUUUUGAGUGUGGCCAUCUCUCUUGGGCCCCUGGAUUCCAUAUUAGCAGUAACAAUUCUUUUACAUAGUAAUAUUUCAACAUUAAUAAUAUGUGAAAAUAAUUGUAAAAGAUUUUAUCAUCAAUGUCCGAUUUGUAUUUGCAAAGCAUUUUGUGGUUCCAGAUUUUUUUCCUUAGAUCCUCAGUUUACCUGGGGCCAGGGUUAUUAUUCCCAUUUUAGAGAAGAGAAGAUUGAGGCUCAGAGCUUAAGUGACAAGCUCAGGGUUACUCAGAAAAUGGCAAUGCUGGGGUUCAACAUCAAGUCUUUCAAUUCCUAGGUCAGUUCUUCUACCUGCCCAAAGCCACCAGAGCCAACAUUGUUCCUAAAAUGUCAUCUCUUCUGGAUUAGUAAGUUGGGAAAGGAACCCCUUGAAAAGAUGGCUAUCAUUUACACUGGAGAGCCUGCGACUCUCCUAAACUCCUUACUAGAGUUGAAAUUAGCACAUGCUGGUCAAUUAAAAUUAAGUUGCCAUUCCAAUCACUUAAGUUGAAUUACCUUUCAUCAUUUCAAAAGGCAGAUAGGAAGUAUUUUUCAACAGAAAGACUUAGGCACCACAUUCUGGCUGGUGUUCUUGUGGUAUGAGUCUGCUGGGCAUUAUGUUUUUUGCUUCUGAAGAAGGUAUCUUUGUGUUUCCCCCCAUAAAUGAAUGAAACAAGAUUUUUUAGAAAUAAUUUGGUGAAGAAAGGAUUCAAAUAUUGGCAGAUGAUAUUAAAGAACACUGUGAUUAUGACUGAACAGAUUAAGACUGUGUCUGUAUGACACCAAACAUCUGGAAGAAAAUAGAAAAAAAUAGUAAAAAACCUUGAUGUUUUGUUUACUUGAUACCAUGCAUCUGGAUCUCUAAAAACAUCUGGGCUUUUGACUUUUUUUCUCCAAGGUUUUAUCUGGAUGAUGGCAUCAUGUACAGAAAGGUGAAAAAAAAUUAAUAUCAUUAUUACUGAAUUAGAUAAAAUUAUUGUAUGUCAUUAAUCUGCAAAUAUUAACUAAUUAUUCUGUUUAACAUAACAUUUAAUGAGUAAAAUUCUCCACCAGGCAAAAAAAUACAGAAAGGAAGAUAUAAUUAGGUGCUUUAAGAAUGAAACUUGGCUUCAGGCUUAUUUAAAUCUUGGUCAUAGUUUACUGACAGCAAUUUCCUUGGGCAAAAAUUUUUUAGGUCCUCAGACAACAACUUUCUCUCCUGGGGAGCAGUUUCCAUGUGUUAUGAGGAUCUGUUAAUUUACAGUGUGUUUUGACAAUGGUAAAAUUUCGUAAACACUUGGUAACAUAUGAGGUACAUCUAGUAAUAGACGUUUGCUUUGCCAAGUGAAUUACCCAGCCUGAUAAAAUCAGUGUAAGCCCCUUCUCUAAGCCUUCUGACAUGCUGGAGGCUGCACCCCAAAGCAGAACCAACUGAAACAGACUUCAAAGACUUCGUUGCAAUGAAAAGCACCUCAUGUGACUGACGUUUUUUUUGUGAUCUCAUCUAAGAAAAAGUUAUCAUAAUUAUUGAACAUUUCCUCUGUAGCUUAUUCUCAAUCCAAUCAGUUAUAAUGAAAAUAGUCUGCUUGCUUUUUAUAUUCUCAAGUUUUCAAAAUGAUUAGUGCUUCCUUGAGAUCGCCCAUUAAUUGGACACACAAGCCAGAUGAAAAGCUUGAAACCCAAGAGUAUAUAAAAAAACAUAAGGUUGUUGCAAUUUAAGUGCCUUCAAAAGAUCUAAUUUGAUUUUUAAAAGCAAUUCUGCAGAUGUGAAAAUUAAAGGCAGGCAGAAACAAGAUAUGGUUUAAUGAAUAUGUAGGUAAAGAACAUUUAGAGGUUUCAGUAGCCUUACUGUGAAUUAAAAAUUUUUUUUUUUUAUUUAGCUAUUGGGUUGGAAAGAUUGCUCCCACAGCACAAUAGAAAUUGCUGAAUUUUAUGGGUGGCUAUUUCCUUACCAAAUUGCACCAUUUUUCUUGCCCAGCAUAUUUCUGCAGCCACUUUGUAUUUCUGUGUGUAGCCUUUCAGUCCCAGUACCUGCCAAUCAGAUUUCAAAUUUUAAUAAAGUUGAAGGGUCUCCCUACUUGGUCUGUCUUAGCUGCUUCAUUCAUGAGCCUGUUUCCCUCUCACCAGGAGCAAAGUGUGCACUUAUUCUCAAAGAAAGAAAGAAAGAAUGAAAGAAAAAUUAAAAAAAAAAAACCCUUCUAUUGGCUCUAAUGACAUCUUCAGUCAUUAAUGAGUUAAUAAAAAUCUCAAAGUCAUCUGGGGCUAGAUAAGGAGGAAGAAAGAAAAGUAUUGUACUGUAAUGACAGGCUCCCUGGCUGCCCUCUGAGAUGUCAUGGGUCAGUCAUGUUAAGAAUGUGUACAUCCAAUCAUCUGCUGAUUUUUAUCAGCAAGCCCUCCAGCGGGAACUGACAAGGGCCAGUUUGGGAGUCACAAUGAAUAAACAAUGACUUUUUGGAUUGUUGGGGGCUGUGUCGUAGAGUGAGGGGUUUAUAUAUACUAAAACAUGAUGACAUUAGCAAUCAAUAUACCAAUUACAGGACAAGUUAUUGGCUGAGGCAUUCACAGGUCUUCAGCCUCCUUGUACUUGGAAGAGGUCUCUCGAGCAGGGAGGCUCCCUACGUGCAGAGGCAGGCAGGGGUCCAAGACCCGAGGCCCCGAUCGAAAAGGCAAGCCCCGCUUCUCUGGCUGACGUGGUCCGGGCCUGGAUGUUUGGAACGGCUUGCUGUGUUUACUAAAAAUGCAGAUUCCUGAAUCUCCUUCCUAGAGAUGCCAUCUCAGGAGUCUAGGGUGAGGCUGCUGCUUGGUGCCUAUAACAAAAUUUCUAGGUAACAUUGAUUAGGUAAGUUCGGGAGCUGCUGGACAGCUGUAAUUUCCAAAGUGUGGUCCUGGACCAGUAGCAUCACCAGGGUGCUCAUUAGCAAUGCAAAUUCUCAGGCCCCUCCCCGGACCGACUGAAACAGAAACUCUGGAGGUGCAGCUCCAGGUCUGUUUUGUAACGCAGCCUCGCAGCCUCAGGGUGGUUGUGGGCUCCCUAGAGUUUGAAAACCAAGGCAAAGAUCCCUGCUGAACGGGGAGGGUAUGGCUCAGUGGUAGAGCGCAUGCUUAGCAUGCAUGGGGUCUAGCUUCAACCCCCAGUAUCUCCACUAAAGAAAAAAUAAAAUUAAAAAAAAAAAAGAUCCCAACCGAGAGUUUGUGAUACAGCCCUGUCUAUCAUCCAGCUCCUCCGGGGUGCCUCAUGGGUAAUUUUUCACUCAUGCUCAUGAAGAGGCUGAAGUCUGCAAAUGAUUUACCUAAAAAAAAAAAAAAUCAAAGGAGGGUAGAGCCAAGCUUAUCUCUACAAUCACAUCACUCUCAUUCAUGCGCACACACCUCUGGAUUUUCUUGAAUGAUCUCAAGAUCUUGGGCUUUUAACUUCUGCGUGGCAACAAGUUAGCACCUUGAUGCCAAGAUUCCUUUCUAAGGGACAAGGAUAUAAUCUCCAGGAGGGCUCCAGCUCCUGUCCCUGGCAUAGCUAGUGGUCAAUGAGUGUUCACUGAAUAAAUGAAGAAAAGAGUUAAUAAAUCAAUGAAUAAGGGACUGCCUUAUUAUAAGAAUUUCUCGUCGUUUCCUGAUCUGUUUUGCUUAAAAGAAGGCAUGGGUGUGAGCCACGGAGGUUUUUACCAAAAUCACAGAUUUUUUUACCCAAAGCUGUGUCCUUUUCACCCCCGAUGAGAGUAAGACUUCCUUGGGGACCGUUUGUUACCUGUGGCACGGCAGGCAGCCUUGUGGACCAAAUGAGCUGCAUCCACCCCAACCAGAGUGAGACGUUGGAUGAUAAAAAGAUAUACCACCUCCUGGAAACAGACGCUGGAUUUUAUGGUGGAAGCAGAGAAGCCAAAGCCUGCAGGUGCGGGCUGGGCUGACACAGGCUCUGUGGAGCAUCAUUAGAGCCUCCUUAGAGAUGCGGAUUUACUCUGUGUUUAAUCAGGCACGGGCAGAAGAAAUGGCUUCAUUUCAGCUCGAUGAGAGGCAGAUCACAACAGGAAGAUAGAUGGCCAAUCCGGUUCAUCACCUCAGGCAUAUUGCCUUAAUUUGAAGGAGCAGCCUGGCACCCAUGCUAAUCAAGAGGAGAGGGCAAGCCAGCUCGCGACGAGGGCCAGCCAGUUUAACUCUCAUUGCGUCCCUUAAAGAGAAGCUCUUAUUUGUUUUCUUAAUUGAUAUUGUAAGGAAGGAGAGAACCAGAAAACGCAUUACUCAAUCACUUAAGAAGUUCCCCAGCUUCCAAUUCAAGAUGCUUAAAGCAGGACUUGUUAUACCCGAAAUGUCUAAACCUCUGCCUAUAAAGAAGUUUCACAGCCAACGAAUGAAGUGUCUCAGGAAAGACGAUCAAUUUGCCGGCUGCUUUUUAGUACCUGGUCAUGAUUGCAGUUGGCUGGGAAAGAGCUACAAAUAGAGACCACGUUGUGUCUGUGGUGUGGUUACCUGCUGGUCAUUUGGAGGCUCUUGUUGGUGGCUCGGUCCUCUGCUGGUCUUCGGCCCUCCAGAGCAGGCAUGUAAAACCUUGGGGAGGCACGUGAAAAUGGAGGUUCAGCUCUGCUCAGCCACAGCUUCCCGAUUGCCUAAAAAUGCCAGAAGAGGGAUUUGAAGCUUGCGUGGGAGCAGUCACACAGAUCUGAACUCAGGGUCCUUGCCAAACCCCAAUUAUUUGAAGUAAAAGCAGAUAACGGGCAGUUUGGGUACUUACCAACCCGUGGAUGUUUCAGAAUCAUUUGGUAUGUGUCACAUCUGGGCUUUCCUGAGAUCCCCGGAGCCUGAGCACAGGGAGCUUUUCCAGCUCUCCCCACCCCAAUGACUAUUUUCCAGAUGUUCUGAAACAACAUCAAAUGGCCCUGUUUACCCCUGGGAGGUUUAUAAAGGUGCACUGAUGGAGAGGCUGGCUGAGGGAGGCUGAGAUAUUCACUCAACAGCUGAGUCCUAGAAAAUCUCCAUAAACGUGGCAUCAAAUCUUUACCUAAGGCACACUGAACUACGUGAAACACUCCUAACGUGAAGAAGAAACUUAAGAAGCUUAACUAUGGACAUAGAAAUAUUAUCAUCAGCCAUCAUAGUAAUAGUAUCCGGUCACUCCCCACCUACAGGCACAGAUUUCAGCUUAAGCAGAUGUGGGAGAACUGUGUGGUCUUAAGAAUGUUUGAAUAUCAGCCAGUCAAGGGGAAGGACUUUGUUACCAUAAAACCUGAACACUUGUCUUUUGUUUUUUAAGCUAAAUAUGAAGAGAACACAAUCACAAUUGCAGAAAUGAAGAGUCUACGGAGAGGCAUGCCCAGGUUUUGUACAAACCUUCACGGGGAAACAACAACAUGGAAACAAGAGGAGCCAUCAUUAGCAGAUAGGAAAUUUGUUUCAUUCUCGACACAUGGGCAGCAAAUGCCAGAGCAGCCCCUGGGUUCAGAACCCAGGUCUUUGCCUACGUAGUGGAGGUGAGUCAUUCUCUCAGGGAGAAACAAUGUGUUGCCUUCUACUCAGUCACAUGAAAAGAGCCACCAGUUCCCGCCAAACAUGAACAAUGGGUCAAAAUCUGGCGAGAAGGUGGGAUAAUUCCUCCAUGGCACAUCUGCUACAUGGAGACGACAUUCAGUGGAAUAGGUUCUCCCGGUGCCCCCAAAGUAAGCAACCUCCCAAUGCUUUGAUGUGAAAAGUGCUUCGUGUUCUAGAGUCUGUCAAUUACCCAGCAGCUGCCAGUGCAGAACAAACAACCUUCCUGGCACGACUUCCAUUGUCACUGGCAUUGAACUCAUGGCAGUCAUCCUGUUAAGGUCCUUUAUACAGGAAAGGGGAAGUGAGGACGUAUAAGGGGCUCUCACUCUCUGCAGAUCUCAGAAUGCCUACUGGUGGCCCUGCUCUUGAGCAGGAAUUCAUGGGAGAUCGUUCUGCUGCGACAUGUCACCAACUCACGGAUGACAGUCCUUUCACAGAGCUCCAAAAUAGACGCCCCCCAUCUAUUGGACGGCUGGGAAUCUUGGCCAGCUCUGACAUGCCUGUCUAGCUCAAACUCUGGUAAAGAAGCGGAACUCCAACUUUUGUGGCGACAUGGAUGCUCCUUUGAGUGAGAUAAGAGGGCUGGCUACUCUUUGCUUUGCAAACGUGUGGUCGGAAACAUUAACAAUUAAUCCUCUUGAGUCAAUUGUCACUGCUGGUGCUUUUUUGAUUCCUGCAAGUGAUCUGUUCAUAGUUAGAAACAUGAGUUACUUUACCCUUAUCUUAACAUCCUUAACCAUCAGUGUUGUUAUUGGUCAUCAAAUUAGCCAUUUCCUCUCAUUUGAAAUCGAGUGACAGUUCUGGGUGGUUUGAGUUGAGUGAGUUGGACAAGGGGAAAUAGGCGAUUUCCUCUGCCUCUUGUAGAGUUAAUCUCUCAUCCAGAGACUGCUUCAAGCAUCUCUUUCAACAGUGGUCUUUAUUCCUAGUUUAGCAGCAUAGCCGUAAAGGACAAGUUUCUUCUUUACAACGCUGCAACUCAAAGUCUGAAUGAUAGAUGAUUUCCUGGUCCUGAAGAAGACACUUGAGCACUUAUAUUUCUUUCAACAAUUUUUCCCAGUUUGAACAAGACAGUCCAUUUCUCAUUUAAGCAUGGAGCAAGCAGGUUAUGUGUGUGCAAACAAAAAUGUCUGGUCUCCAUUCCAGGGCUGGGUCAGAAGAAGGACUUAGAAAAAAUAUUGUGGGCCACAACAGUGGGUUUUUUUUGUUUUUUUAUUUUUGGUGGCCAUUAUUCAAUAUUUGGGACUUUCUCUCCUAUCUGCAUCAAUUUCCUCUGCUCCUAAAUAUCCUAUUUGGAUCUGCUGAGAGAAGAAAUUUUCUCACCAUGGGUCUUUGGCUAUUUUCUUGGUUCACCCUGGUGGCCCCAAUAAAGAAACUUCUGGUUCUUCA
Molecule: long non-coding RNA, 10273 nt
Organism: Camelus dromedarius (Arabian camel)
Lineage: Eukaryota; Metazoa; Chordata; Mammalia; Artiodactyla; Camelidae
Exons: 7
Source: RefSeq, a predicted model, not a curated record